GGGAGAGCGUGGCAGGCUGGUGCCGCCCCGGGACUUCAAAUCCCGUGAGGGGUUGCUCUGGCAAUCCCUGGAGGGUUCGAUUCCCUUGCUCUCCCG
RNAcentral lists this transfer RNA (96 nucleotides) under Thermocrinis ruber. RNAcentral describes it as "tRNA-SeC (TCA) (tRNA-SeC-TCA-1-1)". It matches the Rfam family "Selenocysteine transfer RNA". Lineage: Bacteria; Pseudomonadati; Aquificota; Aquificia; Aquificales; Aquificaceae. The record is from RNAcentral. RNAcentral also lists the same sequence under 1 other name.